UUGAACGCUGGCGGCAGGCCUAACACAUGCAAGUCGAGCGGAUGAAGGGAGCUUGCUCCUGGAUUCAGCGGCGGACGGGUGAGUAAUGCCUAGGAAUCUGCCUGGUAGUGGGGGAUAACGUCCGGAAACGGGCGCUAAUACCGCAUACGUCCUGAGGGAGAAAGUGGGGGAUCUUCGGACCUCACGCUAUCAGAUAAGCCUAGGUCGGAUUAGCUAGUUGGUGGGGUAAAGGCCUACCAAGGCGACGAUCCGUAACUGGUCUGAGAGGAUGAUCAGUCACACUGGAACUGAGACACGGUCCAGACUCCUACGGGAGGCAGCAGUGGGGAAUAUUGGACAAUGGGCGAAAGCCUGAUCCAGCCAUGCCGCGUGUGUGAAGAAGGUCUUCGGAUUGUAAAGCACUUUAAGUUGGGAGGAAGGGCAGUAAGUUAAUACCUUGCUGUUUUGACGUUACCAACAGAAUAAGCACCGGCUAACUUCGUG
RNAcentral lists this ribosomal RNA (483 nucleotides) under uncultured bacterium. RNAcentral's name for it is "partial 16S ribosomal RNA". It matches the Rfam family "Bacterial small subunit ribosomal RNA", at positions 30 to 507 of the family's 1533-position model. The record is from RNAcentral.